Molecule: long non-coding RNA, 433 nt
Filed under: Bos taurus (domestic cattle)
Lineage: Eukaryota; Metazoa; Chordata; Mammalia; Artiodactyla; Bovidae
Description: long non-coding RNA NONBTAT002936
Source: RNAcentral
CGGGAGAGUAGUUCUUUAUAUGCUGAGCUUUUGUUCAGCAUAUAACAGCGUUUGGACCAAAGAUGAACCCUUAUAAAACAUGGGUAUAGAGAUUAAAUUUUCUGGCUAUGUUGCAGGUAAAGUCAGCAUUAAAUAAAUGAGUGGAAGAACAAGGGUGGAUCUCCUGGUGAGACUCACAUUUAGGGGCCAUUUAAGGACUUUAUCAACCAGUGUCUCAUUUUAAUACAGGGAUCUUUUUUUUUUUUAAUUGACAGGACCCAAAACAGACUUUCAAAUGUCCCUAUUAUUUAAAAGCAAGAUUAGAUUGAAACACUGUUCAAUUUCCCUGCCUAGAUUCAUGACACAAGCCCUCCAUUUUCUUUCCCUGCAAAUGGAAAGCAAUUUAUAGUCUUAACAACCGCUGUCACGGGAAUCAUGAGAAGGUAUUUCAUAC